RNAcentral lists this long non-coding RNA (476 nucleotides) under Monodelphis domestica (gray short-tailed opossum). RNAcentral describes it as "lncRNA (ENSMODG00000036438.1)". Lineage: Eukaryota; Metazoa; Chordata; Mammalia; Didelphimorphia; Didelphidae. The record is from RNAcentral.
AAGAUGCUUUUUUCACUUCAGAGGUCCUUGGUGACUGAUUUCAAUGCAGAUUCAUGGAGAUUCAUCUCAUGUUUAUAGAAACAGGGGCCCAUCCAAGGAAGAAGGAGGAAAAAAUCCUAGAACAGAUAUUUGCUUUUGUUCUUUGCUGAGAAUUUUUGACUGUGGGAAGUUCCAUCUUGCAACUCCCCCAUUUAUCUUUUUGUGCGUGUCCAAUUUAAGAAUACAUAGAGACGAGACUGUGACAAGACAACAAUAAACAGAAACAUACAACUUUGUGACAAGCAUGCUUUGAAAGGAGAAAAUCAGUGUUUUAGGAUCCUUUCUUAAAAAGAAACGUAUGCAGGGAGAAAAUUCAUUAAAACAGUUUCAGUGUACUGCCCCUUUAACUGAAGAAGCUAAGCUGUUGCGAUUAGCCAUCUGAUUGGCUGAGCUGACUUUCUUGUUCCCUAACUUUCCCUGCACCAUACAUGCAGAUA